GAUUCUGCGCUUAGAGACGGUUCU
This 24-nucleotide non-coding RNA is filed under the name Arabidopsis thaliana (thale cress). The record is from RNAcentral. Lineage: Eukaryota; Viridiplantae; Streptophyta; Magnoliopsida; Brassicales; Brassicaceae.